AGUGAACGCUGGCGGUAGGCCUAACACAUGCAAGUCGAACGGCAGCACAGGAGAGCUUGCUCUCUGGGUGGCGAGUGGCGGACGGGUGAGGAAUACAUCGGGAUCUACUCUGUCGUGGGGGAUAACGUAGGGAAACUUACGCUAAUACCGCAUACGACCUACGGGUGAAAGCAGGGGACCUUCGGGCCUUGCGCGAUUGAAUGAGCCGAUGUCGGAUUAGCUAGUUGGCGGGGUAAAGGCCCACCAAGGCGACGAUCCGUAGCUGGUCUGGGAGGAUGAUCAGCCACACUGGAACUGAGACACGGUCCAGACUCCGACGGGAGGCAGCAGUGGGGAAUAUUGGACAAUGGGCGCAAUCCUGAUCCAGCCAUACCGCGUGGGUGAAGAAGGCCUUCGGGUUGUAAAGCCCUUUUGUUGGGAAAGAAAUCCAGCUGGCUAAUACCCGGUUGGGAUGACGGUACCCAAAGAAUAAGCACCGGCUAACUUCGUGCCAGCAGCCGCGGUAA
This 506-nucleotide ribosomal RNA is filed under the name uncultured bacterium. Its description in RNAcentral is "partial 16S ribosomal RNA". It matches the Rfam family "Bacterial small subunit ribosomal RNA", at positions 29 to 523 of the family's 1533-position model. The record is from RNAcentral.